AAGAGAUAGGAUGUUGCCCCUUGCAAGUAGAGACUGCAGCACUUGAGCAUGCAGGGAGGUAAUGAGAGAAGAGCAAGAAGAAAGAAGAUCCAUCUUGCUAGCAGACAGUCAGACUUCAGGAGUUCUGCGCUGCACUAGGGCUGAAGCCCAUUUUUUGUCUGCGCUAAGUCUGGAUUCUCAUCUGCCAAGUGGGGCCAGAGAGCCUAGCAUCCAAGGAUAGAGAGGAAAUCUUCUGGAGAACCUCAACAAGGUGAAACAAGGUGGCCAACAACGUUGAAGAAAACAUCAUGCUAAAAAGCAUAGAAGCAAGCACACAACCUUGUUUCAUUCCAUUGGUGACUGGGA
Phascolarctos cinereus (koala) is the source of this 345-nucleotide non-coding RNA. The record is from RefSeq and is a predicted model, not a curated record. NCBI's taxonomy places the organism in Eukaryota, Metazoa, Chordata, Mammalia, Diprotodontia, Phascolarctidae.